RNAcentral lists this ribosomal RNA (280 nucleotides) under uncultured Pseudomonadota bacterium. RNAcentral's name for it is "uncultured proteobacterium partial 16S ribosomal RNA". It matches the Rfam family "Bacterial small subunit ribosomal RNA", at positions 338 to 610 of the family's 1533-position model. Lineage: Bacteria; Pseudomonadati; Pseudomonadota. The record is from RNAcentral.
CCUACGGGGGGCAGCAGUGGGGAAUUUUGGACAAUGGGGGCAACCCUGAUCCAGCCAUUCCGCGUGAGUGAAGAAGGCCUUCGGGUUGUAAAGCUCUUUCGGCAGGAACGAAACGGUGGCUACUAAUACUAGCCGCUAAUGACGGUACCUGAAGAAGAAGCACCGGCUAACUACGUGCCAGCAGCCGCGGUAAUACGUAGGGUGCGAGCGUUAAUCGGAAUUACUGGGCGUAAAGCGUGCGCAGGCGGUUUUGUAAGACAGAUGUGAAAUCCCCGGGCUU